Molecule: ribosomal RNA, 317 nt
Filed under: uncultured bacterium
Lineage: Bacteria
Description: bacterial SSU rRNA
Rfam family: Bacterial small subunit ribosomal RNA
Source: RNAcentral
GUUACCUACCUCUCAGUUUGGGACAACCUGUCGAAAGACGGGCUAAUACUGAAUAAGACCACGACAUUUUCGGAUGCAGUGGUAAAAGAUGGCCUCUUCAUGAAAGCUAUCGCUGAUAGAUGGGCCUGCGCACCAUUAGCUAGUUGGUAGGGUAAUGGCCUACCAAGGCUACGAUGGUUAGCUGAUCUGAGAGGAUGAUCAGCCACACUGGGACUGAGACACGGCCCAGACUCCUACGGGAGGCAGCAGUGGGGAAUAUUGGACAAUGGGCGAAAGCCUGAUCCAGCAAUUCCGCGUGAGCGAAGAAGGCCUUCGGG